AACGUAGGUGGCGAGCGUUAUCCGGAUUCAUUGGGCGUAAAGAGCUUGUAGGUGGCUUUGUAAGUUGGACGUGAAAACUCCGGGCUUAACUUGGAGAGGCCGUUCAAUACUGCGAGGCUGGAGGAUGUCAGAGGGAAGUGGAAUUCCUGGUGUAGCAGUGAAAUGCGUAGAUAUCAGGAGGAACACCCGUGGCGAAGGCGGCUUCCUGGGACAUACCUGACACUGAGAAGCGAAAGCUAGGGGAG
This 245-nucleotide ribosomal RNA is filed under the name uncultured bacterium. RNAcentral describes it as "partial 16S ribosomal RNA". It matches the Rfam family "Bacterial small subunit ribosomal RNA", at positions 524 to 768 of the family's 1533-position model. The record is from RNAcentral.